AUGAACGCUGGCGGCGUGCUUAACACAUGCAAGUCGAGCGAGAAAGCUCCUUCGGGAGUUAGUACAGCGGCGGACGAGUGAGUAACACGUGAGAACCUACCCUUUAGUGAAGAAUACCCACGAGAAAUUGUGGUUAAUACUGCAUACGUCCCUUCGGGGAGAAAGGUGGCUUUAUGCUACCGCUAAUGGAUGGGCUUGCGGACUAUCAGCUUGUUGGUGGGGUAAAGGCCCACCAAGGCUAUGACGGUUAACCGGCCUGAGAGGGUGUACGGUCACGUUGGAACUGAGAUACGGUCCAGACUCCUACGGGAGGCAGCAGUGAGGAAUAUUGCACAAUGGGCGAAAGCCUGAUGCAGCGACGCCGCGUGGAGGAUGACGGCCUUCGGGUUGUAAACUCCUGUUAAGUGGGAUAAAAUCCUUACCUCUAAUACAGGUAAGGGAUGAUAGUACCAUUAGAGAAAGCACCGGCUAACUUCGU
Molecule: ribosomal RNA, 478 nt
Filed under: uncultured bacterium
Lineage: Bacteria
Description: bacterial SSU rRNA
Rfam family: Bacterial small subunit ribosomal RNA
Source: RNAcentral